AUCACUUUGGGAUGGACCCGCGCCGUAUUAGUUAGUUGGUGAGAUAAAAGCCCACCAAGACGAUGAUACGUAGCCGACCUGAGAGGGUAAUCGGCCACAUUGGGACUGAGACACGGCCCAGACUCCUACGGGAGGCAGCAGUAGGGAAUCUUCCACAAUGGACGAAAGUCUGAUGGAGCAACGCCGCGUGAGUGAUGAAGGUUUUCGGAUCGUAAAACUCUGUUGUUAAAGAAGAACAAGUGUUAGAGUAACUGUUAACACUUUGACGGUAUUUAACCAGAAAGCCACGGCUAACUACGUGCCAGCAGCCGCGGUAAUACGUAGGUGGCAAGCGUUGUCCGGAUUUAUUGGGCGUAAAGCGAGCGCAGGCGGUUUUGUAAG
This 381-nucleotide ribosomal RNA is filed under the name Apilactobacillus kunkeei. Its description in RNAcentral is "bacterial SSU rRNA". It matches the Rfam family "Bacterial small subunit ribosomal RNA", at positions 214 to 587 of the family's 1533-position model. The record is from RNAcentral. Lineage: Bacteria; Bacillati; Bacillota; Bacilli; Lactobacillales; Lactobacillaceae.